Molecule: transfer RNA, 76 nt
Filed under: Deltaproteobacteria bacterium
Lineage: Bacteria; Pseudomonadati; Myxococcota; Myxococcia
Also listed under: 1 other name
Description: tRNA-Lys
Rfam family: tRNA
About the family: Transfer RNA (tRNA) molecules are approximately 80 nucleotides in length. Their secondary structure includes four short double-helical elements and three loops (D, anti-codon, and T loops).
Source: RNAcentral
GGGCCUGUAGCUCAGCUGGCAGAGCAGUUGACUCUUAAUCAAUUGGUCGGAGGUUCGAAUCCUCUCAGGCCUACCA